UUAGUUGCCAUCAUUUAGUUGGGCACUCUAAGGUGACUGCCGGUGACAAACCGGAGGAAGGUGGGGAUGACGUCAAAUCAUCAUGCCCCUUAUGACCUGGGCUACACACGUGCUACAAUGGACGGUACAAAGAGCUGCAAGACCGCGAGGUGGAGCUAAUCUCAUAAAACCGUUCUCAGUUCGGAUUGUAGGCUGCAACUCGCCUACAUGAAGCUGGAAUCGCUAGUAAUCGCGGAUCAGCAUGCCGCGGUGAAUACGUUCCCGGGCCUUGUACACACCGCCCGUCACACCACGAGAGUUUGUAACACCCGAAGUCGGUGGGGUAACCUUUUUGGAGCCAGCCGCCUAAGGUGGGACAGAUGAUUGGGGUGAAGUCGUAACAAGGUAGCCGUAUCGGAAGGUGCGGCUGGAUCACCUCCUUU
This 422-nucleotide ribosomal RNA is filed under the name Salmonella enterica subsp. enterica serovar Derby. Its description in RNAcentral is "bacterial SSU rRNA". It matches the Rfam family "Bacterial small subunit ribosomal RNA", at positions 1111 to 1533 of the family's 1533-position model. The record is from RNAcentral. Lineage: Bacteria; Pseudomonadati; Pseudomonadota; Gammaproteobacteria; Enterobacterales; Enterobacteriaceae.